Molecule: long non-coding RNA, 35635 nt
Filed under: Citrus maxima (pomelo)
Lineage: Eukaryota; Viridiplantae; Streptophyta; Magnoliopsida; Sapindales; Rutaceae
Description: long non-coding RNA (CMAX_LNC003473)
Source: RNAcentral
GUUGAGAUCAUUUGUGUGGAAGCAUUUUUCGAAGCUACCUGGAGGACACAGAGCUAAGUGUCAUUAUUGCGGCAAAAGUUAUGCAGCCCAUAGUAAUUCCGGAACAAGCGGUUUGUCGACUCAUUUGGGUAGAUGUAAAGUGCGCAAAAAAUUAAAGGCUGCAAAUGAUGCAAAACAACAAACAUUAGUUCGUAAAAAAGGUAAAGGUAAAGGUAAAGAUGAUGGUAUUGCUAAGGUUAUACACGUAGGAUUUAAUAGAGAGGAUUGUAGAAUGGCACUUGUGAAAAUGAUAAUCAAAGAUGAGUUGCCUUUUAGAUUUGUAGAGAUUUGUAGAGGCUAAAAGGGUUUUUAGAGUUCAUGGAAACUUGUUGUCCGAAGUUUGAGGUACCAUCUCGAAGAACAAUUAUAAGGGAUAUUCUUGAAUUGUAUUAAAAUAAAAAGGGGCUGUUGAAAAGUGUUUUGACUACAAAUAAACAGAGAGUGUGUAUUAUCACCGACACAUGAACUUAAAUUCAAAUGUCAAACUUUAUGGUAGUUACGGCUCACUUUAUUGAUGAAGAGUGGGUUUUGCAUAAGAGGAUUCUCACUUUUACACCUAUAUCUAAUCACAAAGGAGAUGCCAUUGGGAAGUUAAUUGAAAAUUGUUUGAUUGAUUGGGGGAUUGAGAAGUUGUUCACAAUUACAGUGGAUAAUGCAAGUGCAAAUACACUUGCAAUAUCUUAUAUGAAGAAGAAGUUGGCAAAUUGGAGUGGAAAUUCGAUGGUUUUGAAUGGUUUAUAUAUGCAUGUGAGGUGUUCGGCGCAUAUAAUCAACUUAAUUGUGCAAGAUGGGUUGUCACAAGUGAAUCAAUCAAUAGCCAGUAUCCGAAAUGCAGUGAAAUAUGUUAGAUCCUCCCCUACAAGAUUACAAAAGUUCAAAACAUAUGUUGAUAUGGAGAAAAUCUCACGUGGAAGGCUUAUGGUGUUAGACAUGCUGACUCGGUGGAAUUCAACAUAUUUAAUGUUAGAAAAAAUGCUAGCAUUUGAGAAAGCAUUUGAUAGGCUAAAGGAAGAUGAUGGCCAUUAUACAAACUGGUUUGAUGAGGAUGAGAGUGAAAAAAAGGAGGUGGGGCCACCGACUAAUGAGGAUUGGGAAAAUUCAAAGAGGUUAGUCAAGUGUCUUUCAGUUUUUUAUUAUGUGACUUUAAAAUUCAGUAGCUCUUUAACAGUCACUUUCAAUAAUUACUUGAAUGAAAUGUGGAAAGUUUAUAUUCAUUUGAAGUCACUUGUUGAUUCUAAUGAUUUUUUGUUAAAUCAAAUGGGUUACAAGAUGGAGGAAAAGUUUGUCAAGUAUUGGGGUCAUUCUUUUAAAAAGGUUAACAUGUUGUUGAUUAUGGCAAAUGUGCUUGAUCCUCGCUGCAAACUUGACUUUGUUAUAUGGUGUUUUAGUAGCUUGUAUGAUAUUAGAAAGGUUGAUGAAUUGAGAGUUAACAUUAAAGAGUUGCUGUUGAAGCUUUUUGGAAGCUAUGGUGGUGAGAGUAAUCCAAACAGAGGUGAGAGAAGUAGUGAUGUGCAUGAUAGUGCUAGUAGUAGUCAUGGGUCAUUUGAUGCUUUUACACAAUUUAGAAAGAUGAAAGAAAGUUCAAAUGAUGACAUUAUUGGAAAAAAUGAUGUUGAAAAAUACUUGUUAGUGACUUGUGAGAGUGCUAGUAAUCCCCAUUUUGAUAUUUUGACUUGGUGGAAAUUGAAUGAGCCUCGGUAUCCGAUUUUGUCUCAAAUUGCCAAAGAUGUUUUGGUAAUUCUGGUGUCUACUGUGGCUUUUGAAUUAGCAUUUAGCACAUGAGGGUGCAUUCUUGAUCCUUUUAGGAGUUCUUUAACUCAUAAAACAGUUGAGUCGUUAAUCUGCACUCAAAAUUGGCUUCGCUCAACUCUAUUAGGAGAGCAUACAAUACAACCAAGUCAGGAGGAAGCUGAAUUCUAUGAAUUAGUUGAAACAUGUAAUAUUAUAAUUUAUUAUGUUAUUUUUUGUGAUUUCACUUAGAACAUUUUGUAUAUUAGAAUUAAUGAUUUUAAUAUAAUUGUUUCAAUUUCUUGAAGAAUUUUUUAGGCCAAUGCAAUCUCAACAACAACAACAAGUAGGUGAGGAGCAAAUGACAGUUGAUUGAUGUUGCUGACGAGUAAGUUUUCUUUAUUUUUUUUAAAAAACUAGUAUCUUAUCUAUAUAGACUGUUUAUUUAAUUAUUAAUUGUUUUAAAAUUAUUUUAUAGAUCCAAAUAUUGAGCUGGAAAAUGCCUAAAGUUGAUGUUGAUAUUGAUGAAGAUGAGAGAAUGUUGUUGGCGUUUGUUUCCAAAUUUUCUUUUUAUUUUGUGUUGUAAGUUGUAACUGUUGUUAUUUUUAUUUGUGUUUACAACAUUAUGUUCAUGUAGAUGGAGUAUUGGAGUUUGGUUAUGUAUUUUAAAAUCUUAAUAUUUCAUAUUUUGUAAGUACCUUAUUAGUAGUUAGUAAAAUAUUAGUGAUAAAAUGUGUUUUGAAUACUUUGUAUUUAUUGUUAAUAUUUGUAAUGAAAUUAGGAUGAACUAAUUGUUGAAAAAAUUAUUUCAUUCAUGAGGGCCAAUGGGCUAAAAAUUUAGAAAUUCAAAAUAGGCCUGAUAGGCCCAGAACCAAAAAAACCGAAUCAAACCGAACCGAUCCGCACAGAUCCGUUUAUGUUCGGUUUUUUUUAGUUCGGUUCUUAUUCGGUUUUUUUUAUAAAAUAACCAAUUUAAAUCGGUUCUUCUUAAUUUCGAUCUAAAUCGAACCAUGUCCACCCCUAAUAUAAAAUCUCUAAUUCAAAAAGGUUAAAAUAGUCCAUUAGUUAAUUUUAUUUUUUUUUAAAUGACGCUCGACCGAAGAAGAAAACAUUAAAAUGCCGAAGUAAACAAUCAGUAGCUAGCGGACAUCCCAAAGCUUAAAUUGUUGUAUUUGGUUGUUAUUAAUGUAAAAUUCCACUUUUAAAAAGUGAUUCUCUAUUUUUUUUUUUUGGGUGUUUUAGAAGUUCUAGUUUAGAAAAAAAAAAAAAAAAAAAGAGAAGGUAUCCUAAGAAAUUUGACAAAAGAUGACACCAACACCAGCUGAAAAAAUAAUAAUAAAUAACGUUUAACCUCCUCCAAUUAUUAAAAUAUAAUAUUUAAAUAACAUUAUGAAAAAAAUAAAUUUAGUUAACUUAUACAAUCUUUGUUGUUUAACUUCCUCAAAUUAUUUUUGUUUACGUAUUGAUUUUCUCAAGUUUGUUGUUCUCAUAUUACGAUCCAUACAAGGGCAGAACUAGGCACAGUCCUGAGGAUGCACCAAUAUUAUGAAUAUUUUAUGGUUGACCCCUUUACGUUUAAAAAAUUUACGUUUUAGUCUAUUCAAUUUUUUUGUUUGUCAUUAUGGUCUUCAUUGUUGCCAUCUUAAUAUUUCUGAUGUUGUAGUUGUUGGUUAUAAAUAAUUUUGCAACUGAAAUAUUUGAAUCGCGUUUCUCAUAAAAUAUAUAGAAUUACUAUAAUUUAAAAUUUGUAUCUUUGCGUUUCUAUUGCAAUAAUUUAGGCUCUCAAGUCAUAAUCUGUCAUCACCAAUUUUAUUACAUCACGAUCCGUUACCGACAAUCUUCCAAGUUAUGACUCAAAUUUGAUUUGCACUUGAUGUUUGAGCGCCAUUAUCACUACUAAAAACAACUAGCAAUAGAAAACUUUUUAUCUCAAAGUUAGAGAGAUUUAAAGAGAAAAAAUUUCUUUUCAUCUGUUCUAUAUGUUAUGGCUUUCUUCUUUUUCUUAUAAAAAAAAUUAUAUUUUUUUGAUGGAAAUCCUAUAUCUCUUUUCUAAUUCUCUUAUCUCAAAAAUGUUUAAUUUAAUUUAAAAUAUAAGAUAAAGUCAAAAGUGAUGACACAUCAUUUGUGCUUGUUAUAAGCCCUAUCUUGUAAAAUAACAUAAGGCCCCUUAUAUACGAGCAUAUUAAAUGGAGUCUCCCAUCAAAUAAUAAAUUUAGUCUUUUAACAUAAAUAACUAGUUGUUUUUAUUAGUUCAGUAGUAGUGCAGCCAAUUAAGUGAGCAAACUCGGGGUCAUUUGGUCACAUACAAUAAUGGCUACAAUAAGUGGGACAUGUAAUUAAACUAACCCGAUUAGUUAAUUCCAAAUCUACUCUACUAAAAGAGUAGAACCGACCUCUAUAACUAUAUGUUAUCUAGGAUGAUAUUCUCAAAUAAUAAUUAGACUUAUGCCACAUUGAUUUAUUUAUUGAACAAUCCUUUGUACCAUAUUGUUAAUUAAAUUGAUAUCGCAACUUACUGUCUAAUCAAUUUAAUUACAUCUUAUUUCUUGACAAUUAAAUUGGUUUUCUCUAAUUUUCAUUUUUAACAUAACAGUUAUGUUGAUACACUUUGGCUAAGAAUUCUAUGAUCAAGUACUAAAAACCCGUCAAGAAAUGUGUUGUACAAAUUUUAUAUUGUUAAUCUAUAAUCUUGCUACUCAUAAUUGCUUCUACCAAGAUACCGAGUAAUCUUGACUAAAAACCGAGUAAUCUUGACUAAAAAUGCAUGUUGCACCCAUUGGUAAUUCAAAUGGAAUAACAAUCAUAAUCAUGAAAUUAUAAUGAACACAAGAUUAAGAUUGCAAUAAAAUUAAUAUCUAUAAGAUUUAAUAAGUCUAACAGUCAUUUUAAGGUUAAUUAAAUCUCAUAUAUGAUCUAGUUCAAUAGUCAAACUACAUAAGUAAAUUUAUACAUAAUUAAAAAAAAUUAUUUAAUGAAUUUACCACAGUCUAAAUAUAAAUAAAGCACCCAACUGUUUUUUAUCAACUGCGAAUUCAAUUAAUUUAAUCAUAAGAUAAUUUAUAUUUAUAUGUCUUUGAAUCCAUAUAAUGAUCAUACAAAUACAUAUAAUAUAAUUAAAUAGACCUCACUCAAAAUAUUUAUGCAAUUAAGAUAUCAAAAAAAAUAUUUCAAAUAUUUUAUUAAUAAAAAAUAUAUUCAUAAAUAAGUUAAUAUACUUUAAAGAGCACAAAAUCUCAACAAUAACCAAAUUAUAUUUAUGGCUUCUUUAUUUUGGCCACCCUCAAACCAAAAUACUAGUUUCGCCUCGAAGAAAGUUCCUAAUUCCUCCGUAAGAUUACGUCCAUAUCAACUGUAUGUAUGACAUCCUAAACUUCUCACACAUGUUACAAAAUUUCAUUAUGUAUCCUUUUAUAUAUAUAUAUAUAUAUUUUAACUUAUUCAUUAUAUUUUAAAUGUAAUAGAACAUUUGAGACGUAAAAAAUAUUUGAGCCUUUGAGGUAUGUAACAAAACCCUUAUGACACCUAAGAUAUGUAACUAAAAAUUUAAAAAAAUUAUACAUGUAAUUGAUUUUAAUUUAAAUUUUAAGAUGUGUUCGACAAUAACAUAAAACAAUACUCUUGAAUUCUUGGCCACCUUACUUUAGUGAAAACAAAACAUUGAUAAGCAUUUAUUAAAAUAUGCAACCUGCAAAUUCAAAAAAAAAAAAAAAAACAAGUGAAACAACCUGGUGAGUGAAGAGUUUUGUUUGGAUAAUUACAGUUUCACCCUUAAAGUAUGAUAAAUAUAGAUUCUAGAAAGUUUUGGAGUUGAACAAAAUAUUCCAUUAGUAGUAAAUAGUAACUUAGCGUACAUAUUUAACCCAAAAAAAAAAUCCUACUUCUAAUGAUCCCUAAGAAUUUAUUUAAAAUUAAUGAAAAUUAUUUGAUUCCACUCCUAAUCACCCCAAAUAUCAUCUAAAUGAUGAAAUGGAAAUGUUAAGUUAAAUAUCUUUUUAUGACACAUUUAUAUCCUAGAAAUAAACAUAUGUUGAUAAAAUUAUAAUGUUAUUUUUAAAUAGUUUAAAAAGGUAAAGACUCAUAGAAAACUUGGGUUUAAAAUGUGGGACAAAGCUAUGGUGCAUCGGGUGCACUGUACCCCUAUUUUUAACUAUUUACAGUGUCGUCCCUCUCAUUUAUUGAAAAUUAAAAAAAUUAGAGAUUUUAAAAUUUUAACAUGUGUAAAAUUUUUGACAUUAUUAUUUGUUCAUAUAUUAAUGUUAUUGGUAAAUUAUUAUUUUUUACAUAUUCAAAUUAAUUACUGUAGGUUAAAUAGAUUUUACAUUGUUUCUAAAAAAAAAGAUUUUGCAUUAAAUUAUUUUAACAGACUAUUCUCCUUACAUUAUCACUAAUUUUAAUAGUCAAAUUAUGUCAAUUUAUCAAAGUAUAAAAAUUUUAAACAAUUCAAAAUUAUAUGUCAAAUUUUAUAACCUUUGACUUUCUUAUUUUUUCAGAAAACGAUAGGGACAUCAAUGUUAAAAACCAAACAAAAGACAUCCACACCAUUGAAACAAUUUUCAUGUUAGAUCUAAUGGCCAACUUAUGUACGGAGAAAAUGGGGUGCAAUUAAUCAAUUUCCAUGUUAGAUCCAUGUUAGAUACAAUUGCUAGGACAUAAUUAAUCAAAUUAAAAAGUAUUAUUUUUUUAAUCAUAAAAUUGAAUAUAAGUUUUCUCCUAGAAUCCUUGUAGAAUGGGAAUAAAUCAUCAAUCAAAAUUUCAAUAGGCUAUGUGAAGAGCUUCUAUGGCAGUUAAAUUUUUAUUUGUCCAUGUUUCUUGGAAAGAGAUCUCUUGUUUUUCUUUUCCAUCCACAUUUAGAACAAACAUUAAUAACUAAUAAAAACAAAAUUUAUGAGCGUUGAUACGUUAUGUGCCAACUUCGAAAAUUCCAACUUGUAGUUAUGACUUGCCACCAAUUUUAACGUUUGUUACAUUUCAUCUAGGAAAAUUCUGGAAAAAAAUCCAAAUAGAAAAUUUUAAUUAAGUUGGUUAGAUAUUUCUAUGCCUCAUCUUUUAGGUUGAAAGUUCAAGUUUAAUGAUAAGUAUGAGAAUUCAUUUAUUUAUUAUUUCAUUUAGGGGAUGUUUGUUUUUUGAUUUAGUGGCUUAAAAUGACUUAAUUAGUUAAGUCAGUUGAAGAUGUUUAUUUUUAUAAUUUAAUGAGACUUGUGAUAUAUUUUUGACUGAAUAAAAUAAGUCAUUUUUUUUAUUUUACUGAUUAAAAAAAAUCUGAAUAAGGUAAUUAAAUUUUAAUAUAAAAAGUAUCCCUAUUUUAUUUAUUUAUUUUUUAUACCUACCCAAAAAACCACGCAUAUAUACCCCACUAAUAAACUCACGUUUUAAUAAUUUGUAUUUACAAAAUCUUUUUUUUUUAAAUUAGAUUUUAAUUCAUCCUUUACGGUGUGAACUUAGGUUUAGGGCUUUAGGGUUAAGAAGUGCUCUAUCAUUUUCCAGUUUAUAUUAGUUUUGCUAAAUUUUAUUGCUAGCUAUCAUGAUUUCUUUAUUAUUUAUUAAACUGCAUUUAACGUGUUUAUCUAACAUAAAGCAAAGUAGUUUGGCUUGAGCAAAUGAUAAUUUAUUUGGCCGUAAGAUUCCACAAUUUGAAAGGAUAUUAAUGCAUGCAGCAUAGUUUGGCAUGUGUUGUUCUGUACUCUAAGUUUAGAAGUAAAUCGCUUCCUUUGAUAAACCACCACAAUUGGUUACACUCGUAGUUUUUUGUAGAAUUUUUGUUCAUUUUUUUAAGUAUUUUGUUUUUUUUUUUUUAUAAUUUAGGGUUGGCAAAUUAAGGGCUUGAGUUGUGAUUUUUCAAGCUCAGACUCAAACCCAUUAGAUAAGAAGUGCAAGGGCUGGGCCUAAGCCGGGCCCACUGUAGACUUGGGCUUUUACUUAUUUUUUUAAAAAUUUUUAAAAAUUGUUGUAAACUUGAAAUUAGUUAAUAAUAAUCAAGUUGUUAUAAUCAAUAGUGAAUGAAAAUAAAUAAAUAUUUUAAAAUAAAAUAAUAAAUAAAGAAAUAAAAGUUUAGAGAUUUAGGUGGCGUUUAUUUUUUUAUCUGAAAUCUGAAUAGACCUGAAUUAAUAUGAAUUCUGAAUAGAUCUAAAUGUCUGAAUCUGAAUAAUAUGUUUAUUUUUUUGUCUGAAUCUCGAAAAAUAAGUAUUAAGUUGUUUGUUUUUUUCAACUUAAAAAGCUAAAAAUAUGUACUUUUACAUUUGUAUCCUUAUUAAAUUUGAAUGUCAAAUAAAUAAUAAAUUAAAUACCACAAUAUUUUAACAUUUAUAAGUAAAACUAUAUUCAAGUGAAUACAUAAUUAUUUUAGAAUUUUAAUAUAUAAAAUACCAUAAAUUUUAAAUUUUAUCGUAUAUAAUAUAAGAAAGAAAAAAUAGGGAAAUUUUUAUGUGGGGUAAAUGUCUAUGGGUGAGUUUUGGGAUAGACAUGAAAAAUAAAUUAUAAAGCAGGGAUAUUUUUGACAUUAGCAAGUAAUUGACUUAAUUCAGAUUUCUCCAUUAAGUAAAAAGCCAAACAAAUUGGCUUAUUUUAUUAAGUCAAAAUUAUCUAAAAAGUCUCAUUAAGUUAUAAAAACAAACACCCCUAAUUAACUUAAAUAAUUAAGUUAAGUCACUUUAAGUCAUUAAGUUAAAAAACAAACGCCACCUUAAUUUUUAGUAAUAAAUUCUCUAAUUCAACCAUUCUCUUAACUAAUUAACACUUAAAAGAGAGUUUAGUAUUAUAAUUUUAAGUUUUUUUGAUUCAUUAUUGAUAUAUAAAUUAGGAAUUUAAGCUUCUUCUUUUUUAAAUUUGAAUUCAUUAUUCUAAUUUAUAAAUUUAUCAUUUAAAAAAAAGAGAGCUUGGGCAUGGUUUGAGCUUUUUUUCCUAGGCCUUUGUCCAGGCCCUCAUGUGCGAAACUCGGGUCAAAGCCUGUGAGAAUGGGCCGGGCCGAAUCUUUUUUGCCAUCUCUACCUUAUAUUAUGCGCUAUUAUUGUGAAGUUUUGAUCAUUUUAAAGCUUAAAGUAUUUUAUAUAUUAUAAUUUCAUAACCAUUCACUUGAAGAUGAUUUAGGUCAUGAUAAAACAUUAUCAUAUUUAGGUUCUUUAAUAAAUAUAUUAUUUAUUCAACAUUUAAACUUAGUAUGUGUACAAAUGUAAAAGUAAAGGUUUUCAAGUUUUUUAAGUUGAAAAAUAAAUAACUUAAUAUUUAUUUUUAUAUAUUAAAAAAAUAAAUAUAUGAUUCAGAUUCAAAUAUUCAAGUCUAUUCAAAUUCAAACUAGUUCAAUUCUAUUCAGUUAGAUAAAAAAAACACAACCUUAGUUUUACUUUUAGAUUUCUAGUUUGAAUUUCAACUUUGAUAUAUUAAGGCAGACCCCAUCAGAUAUAUUGAGGCAGGCCCAUCAGACAUAUUGAGUUAUCACUAAUUUAAAAAAAAAGAAAAGGUACAUUAUCUUUGUGACCAAGGACUUGACAAAAAAAUAAUUUAGACUUUAUCCACCCAUUUAUUUAUUUUUUUUAAAUAAAUCGUAAAAAAAAGUGCAUUAACUUUGACACUAAGGGCCUAAAUGAGUAGUUUUCUAUUGGAGUUCGAAUCUAAGAAAAAUAGGAGGUUAAAAAAAUUAAUUUAAACUUUACAGACUUUGAUGAAUUUUUAAAAUUUCAUAAUAAUAGUGGCACAAAAAAUAAUGCUAUAGGAUAAAAAAAAAUUCAUUGCAAGAUAAAAAAAAUUUCACUAAAAGAGAAAUUAUUUUUUAUAUCUUAUUUGCUAAGUUCUACACUCCUUUCAGUACAAACAUCAUUAUUUAUAAAAAUUAUGGGAUGUCUAAUAAGCUCCUAUAUUUAAUAUAAAGGUUUUAAAAACAUUAUCAAAAGAUAUAAUAAUAAAAAAGAGUUUUGAGGGUCCGAGUCACUUUUUACAACAUUAGAAGUUUGUAAACAGUUGAGUAGUUUAAUGAUGCAAAUGACUCCUGAAUAUAUGAAGCCAAAGAAAGAGACAUAAAGCGCGGUUUCGAACCAAAACCCAUCUCUGCGCUUGAAUUUCUCAAUGCCAACUUGAACAAAGAAAAUAAAAGCAUUUGUGGGUUUUGGCUGGUUUGAGCUGUGAUGGAGGGUAGCGAUAUUAUUUACUGGGCUACUAAUAGUUUACGUAGAAGUGCUUCUAGAUGGAGAAGCACUUCUGAGGGUGCAUUUUCAAGGUCCUCAAGAGAAGAAGAAGAUGAUGAGGAGGCUCUAAAAUGGGCAGCUCUCGAGAAGUUACCUACGUAUGAUCGUUUGAGAAAAGGAAUAUUAACCACUUCGAGCGGACGUGCUAAUGAAAUUGAUGUUGACAAUCUUGGACCGCAAGAAAGGAAGUGGUUGAUUGAUAAAUUGGUGAACGUCACAGAUGUUGAUAAUGAGAAGUUCUUGCUGAAGCUCAGGGACCGCAUUGAUAGGUAUAUUUUUUUUUUUUUCAAAGUUUUCUUGGAAGCCAAACAGAGGAGCUCUGUUCUUGUUCUUUGAGUUAUGAUUUUUCCCUUUUCUUUGAUAAUUUGCAGGGUUGGAAUAGACCUUCCCAAAGUCGAAGUUCGAUAUGAGCAUGUGAAUGUUGAAGCAGAAGCGUUUUUAGCAAGCAAAGCCCUGCCAACUUUUACUAGCUUCUUUACCAACAUCAUUGAGGUAGCAAUCCACAUAUAUAAAUAAUUAAGUUUUCAGUUGAAAUUGUUCGUGUUUAUGUUAAUUAAAAUUGGUUGUGUUUGAAGGGUUUCUUGAACUCUCUUCAAAUUCUUCCAACUAAAAAGAAACACUUGACAAUCCUGAACGAUGUCAGUGGAAUCAUAAAGCCAGGCAGGUGAGAACUGAACUCCAGUUCUUUUUUAUUUUACUUGUAUUUUCUUGAAUUUAUGGGUAUAAGCUCAAAUGGUGCAGAAUGACAUUGCUUUUGGGCCCUCCAUGUUCUGGAAAGACCACGCUUUUGUUGGCUUUGGCGGGAAAGCUUGAUUCUAAGCUAAAGGUAGUUCUAUAUAGUCAGUAAGAGCUCUAAUUAUUUCAGAAAGUAUGGUCUCUAAUUGGAGAAUCAAAAUGCCUCUUUAUAGUUUUCUGGCAGGGUGACAUAUAAUGGUCACGGCAUGGAUGAAUUUGUGCCUCAGAGAACAGCUGCUUAUAUCAGUCAACAUGAUGUUCAUAUCGGAGAAAUGACUGUGAGGGAAACUUUGGCCUUCUCUGCUAGAUGCCAGGGUGUUGGAUCCCGUUAUGGUAGGUUUGAUUUUUCUUUUUUUAAUUUUUUAACCCUUUUGUUUUUACUUUGACUAUAAAUCCAACUCAUUCUUUUUUGGAAUUGAAGACAUGUUAACAGAGUUGGCCAGAAGGGAGAAGGAAGCGGGCAUUAAGCCUGAUCCUGACAUUGAUGUCUAUAUGAAGGUGAGAAAAGCUGAGAUAUGUUUCAAACCUGUUGUUUGUUACAAGUUUAGUUUCAACUUAAGAAUGUCUUCAAUCACGUGUUCAUGUGGCUUAAAUUAAAUCCUCGUAAACGUUAUGAUCAAUCUUAUAGAGUUAGAUGGGCAUCAAUCUUAUAGGCAAGGAGUUUCAUUAAUGGUGACUGAAUUUCUUGUAAUUCUCAGUCUUUCUCAUGUCUCAGGCAGCAGCAACUGAAGGCCAAGAAGCCAAUGUGCUCACAGAUUAUUAUCUAAAGGUUGUAGGACUUGAGGUCUGUGCUGAUACCUUGGUUGGUGAUGAAAUGGUAAGAGGAAUCUCAGGAGGGCAAAAAAAGCGUGUGACAACAGGUAAAUGCCAAAUUUAAAAAUUAUUUUCUAUUUUGCUCACAGAUUAGAACUACUGUCAAUUCUUGAAAACUACUAUCAACACUUGUGAAAAUUUCAUUCAAUUACAGGUGAAAUGAUGGUUGGACCUGCUUUGGCACUGUUUAUGGAUGAGAUAUCUACUGGUUUGGACAGCUCCACAACUUUCCAAAUUGUAAAUUCUAUCUGGCAAAAUAUUCACAUCCUUAAUGGAACAGCUGUGAUCUCUCUCUUACAGCCAGCACCAGAGACUUAUGAUCUAUUUGAUGAUAUUAUCCUUCUAUCUGAUGCUCAGAUUGUGUACCAGGGUCCCCGCGAACUGGUGCUAGAUUUUUUUGAAUCUGUGGGCUUUAAAUGCCCUGAAAGGAAGGGCGUGGCUGACUUCUUGCAAGAAGUAAGUGUAGAAAGAGCUGUUUAUGUGAUGUUUUCCAUUAAAAGAGAUUCUUAUGAGCUGAUUCUUGCAAGAAGUAGGUUCUAAAAACUAUGAUGAGCAUCAGAUGUAACUUCUCAUAUUCAAUCUUCACAAAUAAUAUGUGCAGGUGACAUCAAGGAAAGAUCAACAGCAGUAUUGGGUCCAUAAAGAGAUGCCUUACAGGUUUGUUACAGCCCAAGAAUUUUCCGAGGCGUUCCAAUCAUUCACUGUUGGACAGAAACUCGCAGAUGAGCUUCGAACUCCAUUUGAUAAGUGCAAGAGCCACCCAGCUGCUUUGACUACCAAAAUGUAUGGUGUGGGCAAGAAGGAGUUACUGAAAGCUAACAUCUCAAGAGAACUUUUAUUGAUGAAAAGAAACUCAUUUGUCUACAUCUUCAAGCUCACCCAAGUGAGUAUUAACAAACACAUAAGUUUUGAAUUGUUUUAAUCUGUUCUUGAACUGAUAAUGAUAUAUUGAUUUGUUCCCUUGCCUUUAGCUUUCAAGUAUGGCAUUGGUAUCUAUGACACUCUUCUUCAGAACAAAGAUGCACAAAGAUUCAGUAAGUGAUGGGGGAAUUUAUGUUGGUGCCACAUUCUUCGCUGUUAUGAUGACAAUGUUCAAUGGAAUGUCCGAUAUUUCUAUGACCAUAGCUAAGCUUCCUGUCUUCUACAAGCAAAGAGACCUCCGAUUCUAUGCAGCAUGGGCAUAUGCUCUUCCUGCAUGGAUCCUCAAGAUCCCUAUCUCGUUCCUGGAGGUUGCUGUUUGGGUAUUCCUUACCUAUUAUGUAAUUGGGUUUGAUCCCAACAUUGGAAGGUAAAUUUGCUAGUAACCAGAGAAGAUUUUAUCACAUGAUCUCUUUGUACAACUAGUUUACUAGGUAAUUUUUGUUGGUGCAGGUUGUUUAAGCAGUUCUUGCUGCUCUUGCUUGUUAACCAGAUGGCUUCUGCAUUGUUCCGAUUCAUUGCAGCAGCAGGCAGGAACAUGAUUGUUGCUAUGUCAUUUGGUUCAUUUGUAUUGCUCGUGCUUUUCGCCUUUGGUGGAUUUGUCCUUUCACGAGGUAUAAAAAGUAUAUAACCGAAAGAGAAACUUCUUUGUCAAGAUUUAACUAUGCUUCCAUUUAACUUUUAACAACACAGAGGACAUCAAGAAAUGGUGGGUAUGGGGCUACUGGUGUUCGCCAAUGAUGUAUGCGCAGAAUGCAAUAGUGGCUAAUGAGUUUUUUGGGCACAGUUGGCGAAAGGUAAUUCUCUGAAUGAACCUUUUACAUGAUUGUUUAUUUGCCUUUGAAAAAACAAAUGCUGAUGUCUAAUCUUUUCAUGUCACAGUUUACAAGUAACUCAAAUGAAACACUUGGUGUGCAAGUUUUAAAGUCUCGUGGAUUCUUCCCACAUGCAUAUUGGUAUUGGCUUGGAUUGGGGGCUACAAUUGGUUUUGUACUAUUGUUCAACAUCGGUUUCACCCUGUCUCUUACUUUUCUCAACCGUGGGUGUCUCUGCCUUCUUUACUUUAACUACUACUUUUAAAGAAGCGAGUUUAUGUUGUAAUUUUGUGCGAAUAUAUAUGUGCAGAAUUUGAGAAGCCUCGGGCUGUUAUAUCAGAUGAAUCUGAAAGUAAUGAUCUUGGUAACAGAAUUGGAGGAACAGCGCAAUUAUCAACCCAUGGAAGUAACUCCAGUCACAAAACUUGCUCAGGUGAUGAAGCUGUUUUUAUUUUUUUGACAAGUACCAGAUAUUUUGUAAGUGUCUUUUGAUGCUAACUAUUUAUGUUAACAAGUAGAGAGUGAAGACAUUACAGUGAAAGACUCCUUUUCCCAGUUGUUAUCCCAGAGAGAAGUCACUGUUGGGGCAAUUCAACCGAAGAAAAGAGGAAUGGUGCUUCCAUUUGAACCACAUUCCCUCACCUUUGAUGAAGUUACUUACUCUGUUGACAUGCCAAAGGUAACAUUAAUAUUAAAACCAAUGAAAGUAUGGAUGAUAUCUGGAUUCAAUACAUUGUAGUCCAGACAUGACAACUAAUUGGCUCAGUUUUAACAUUUCUAGGAAAUGAAACUUCAAGGUAUUCUUGAAGACAAAUUGAUGCUUCUAAAUGGUGUGAGCGGUGCUUUCAGGCCAGGUGUUCUUACAGCUUUAAUGGGCGUCAGUGGCGCUGGUAAAACCACUUUGAUGGAUGUGUUGGCUGGUAGGAAAACAGGUGGAUACAUUACUGGGAACAUAACAAUAUCUGGUUACCCAAAGAAACAAGAAACAUUUACUCGCAUUUCGGGAUACUGUGAGCAAAACGACAUUCACUCUCCUUUUGUUACUGUAUACGAGUCCUUGCUCUACUCAGCCUGGCUUCGUUUACCACCUGAAGUUGAUUCUGAAACCCAAAAGGUUUGUACUUAAAUUGCCUGCAGCGUUGCAUCAUUGAGACAGUUGAUUCCCUGAAUAUAUUCUUGGGUGUAGUCAUACUAGUUUAUAGUUUAACCCUUUGGUUUACAGAUGUUUAUUGAGGAAAUCAUGGAGCUUGUGGAGCUGAACCCAUUGAGACAAUCACUGGUUGGUUUGCCUGGUGAGAGUGGUCUGUCAACAGAGCAGCGUAAGAGGCUAACCAUUGCAGUUGAACUAGUGGCUAACCCGUCCAUCAUAUUUAUGGAUGAGCCAACCUCAGGGCUGGAUGCAAGGGCCGCUGCUAUUGUAAUGAGGACUGUCAGAAACACGGUAGACACUGGAAGAACAGUAGUGUGCACCAUUCAUCAACCAAGCAUUGAUAUAUUUGAAUCUUUUGAUGAGGUAAGAAAAAUGUUAAUACUGUAUCAUUUUUUUUGUUUUCCUUUCUUUUCCUGAGUGCUAUCAGCAUUAUUUAACAAUGGAUUGCAGCUGUUCCUAAUGAAGCGAGGGGGACAAGAGAUUUAUGUUGGGCCAUUGGGUCGCCAUUCUUGCCAUCUUAUACGCUAUUUUGAAGUAUGACCCUCGUGUUUACAUUAGAAAUCUUACUUGAUAUAAUAUUAAAAUUGACUUGCAUAAUUUACAUUAUGAAAGCAUCUGCAAUAUGAUACCUUUACCUUUAUGAAGGGAAUUCCCGGAGUAGAAAAUAUUAAGGAUGGCUACAAUCCGGCGACCUGGAUGUUGGAAGUUACAGCUAAAUCGCAAGAAUUAACUUUGGAGAUUGAUUUUACUGAUAUUUACAAAGGCUCCGAAUUAUACAGGUACAUAACCUGUAAACCAAAAUCCAUUCACCACUUUGCCAGUGAAUUUGUUUAGCUAAGGAUUGAUGCUGAUGUAUGUCAUGUGUGCAUCAGGAGAAACAAAGCACUCAUUGAAGAAUUAAGCAGGCCUGCUCCAGGUUCAAAGGACCUCUAUUUUCCUACUCACUACACUCAGUCAUUUUUCAUGCAAUGUGUGGCUUGCUUGUGGAAACAACACUGGUCAUACUGGCGAAAUCCACCAUACACUGCCGUUAGAUUUCUUUUUACGGCCGUCAUAGCUUUGACAUUUGGAACAAUGUUCUGGGACAUGGGCACUAAAAUGUGAGUUACAACAAGGACUCUUUAAAAUCUAUGUAAUUACAUUGCAGCUUGAUAUGCCUUCCAUACUAAAUUUUGAAAUUUUAAUUCCUAGGAAAAGGAACCAAGAUCUGUUCAAUGCAAUGGGUUCCAUGUAUACUGCUGUAUUCUUCCUCGGUGCUCAAUAUUGUUCAUCAGUGCAGCCAGUAGUCGCUGUUGAAAGGGCAGUAUUUUGCAGAGAAAAAGGAGCUGGAAUGUAUUCUGCCAUGCCAUAUGCAUUUGCACAAGUACUCUUUUUUACUCAUUAUCUAUUUGUUUUAAUUUUCAAAGCAACUGUGUUUCUUUACUGAUGUUCUAUUUUCUUUUCUGCAGGUUAUGAUUGAGAUACCUUACAUAUUUGUUCUGUCAGCAGUGUAUGGUAUUAUAGUCUAUGCCAUGAUUGGAUUCGAAUGGAUAGCCGCCAAGUUCUUUUGGUAUUUGUUCUUCAUGUUCUUCAGUUUAUUGUACUUCACCUUCUAUGGCAUGAUGACUGUGGCUAUGACACCAAACCACCACAUUGCUGCCAUUGUUUCGAUUUUAUUUUACGGGUUGUGGAAUGUCUUUUCCGGGUUUGUUAUCCCCAGAACGGUAAGUAUAUUGUUUUCAAUUUUCCCAUUUCUAAUUUAGAUGCUGGAUAUCAUUGCUUAUUAGAAAUGUUUUAGCUAAUUGUUUCCUUAUCUUUUAACUUUAGAUACUAGAUAGAUUUCACAGUUUACUGAAACUUUGUAGCUAUUGUUUCUCCUUGUCUUUCAACUUGUCAAACAACAGAGGAUUCCUCUAUGGUGGAGAUGGUACUAUUGGGCAAACCCUGUAGCUUGGACCAUGUAUGGAUUGGUUGCUUCACAGUUUGGAGAUGUAGAGGACAAAAUGGAAAGUGGUGAAACAGUGAAACAGUUUGUGAGAAGUUAUUUUGAUUUCAAACAUGAUUUUCUAGGAGUAGUUGCAGUUGUUGUUGCAGCCUUUGCAGUGCUGUUUGGAGUGCUCUUCGCAGUAGGAAUUAAGAGGUUUAAUUUCCAGAAUCGAUAGGAAUUCAAUUUCAUUUUUGAGAUCAAGUCUGCUUAAUGAAAAAGUAAUGCCACCAAACAUUCUAAGGCACGAAGGGGAAUAGGGGUGCAGGUGCCUUGGCUAGUCUUGGUUGGCAAUUUCCUCCCCAGUGUUAUAAAAGGGGGCUGUCAGGAUUUUGGAAGGUUUUUUAAAAAUUAUAUCGAUAGUUAUGGGAAUUUAUUAAAAUAAUAGCUUUUUCAUAUUAUGUUUGUACCCAGUAUUAAUUGGUGCCACUUAGAAACUGGUUUUGAAGAUUGCUUGGAGAAGCUAUCAGCAUAGUUUGCAAAGAAUGGAUAAAUUAUGAAGCAAAUAAAAUAAGAAAUCGACAACGCACUCACACAGCAAAAAAAAAUUUGUUUUUGUAUGUUUAUUAGUAUUUAUUCUUUGAUCUUUAUAGCCCAGUUUAUACAUUUGAUCUGUAAUAGCUGUCGCUGCACUUGAUCGGUGGUCAAUAUUCACUGCUGAAUAAGACAAUGAAGAUAAGAUCUUUAUGAAUCUCUGCUGAUUUAGCUCACAAUUUCGAGUUAACAGCUUUCCCACCAAGCCACGCCUCGUUGAGGCAUUUCGUCAAACACUCUGCAGUUUUCAGCAAAAAUCUUUAUUUUUAACCACGAAAGAGGUAAAAGUGCUCAUACUCAAUUUAGUCAUGGUGAAGGAUCGGUGCCCCCUUAGCAUUACACAAGUUCUUAUAUCAGUUUUAAAUCAUUAUAUUAAAGAUGAAUAAAUGAUUAAGAUUGAAAACUUCGAGAAAACAAAUUUUCAUGAGGGUUUUCGCGAUGAGAAAUUUUAAAAUACAUUAAAGGUACUAUGUCAUUUUAUAACAAGCAAAUGAUGCUAUAACAUGUAUUAUUUAUUUUAAAAAACCACAUACAAUUGAUGGUUGUAUUUAAUUUAUUUACACAUAUCAUACAUACAUUAAUUGAUUAUAUUACCUCUAAUAUAUUCUAAAAUUCCACGUUGGCUCAAAAAUACUAAAGGGAACCCUUGGUUUGUUGAUAGGCAUCGCUGACUUAGCUGUAAUCAGAAAACAGCUAAAGAAAAACAAGAAACAGCAUAAGAUGACCACCCAACAGUUCUCUCAACUACAUGAUAGUGCCUCCAGGUCAGUCAACAUGAUUGUGAUGACUGGAGCAGCAGACGAAGAUGAGAAUAUAUUAGAGGUAAUAUAAUAUAUUACCUCUGAUGAUAGCUCAAGCAUCUCUUCUCCGUAGAAGAGAUGCUUGAGCUAUCAUCAGUUUCUGUUUCCUCGUCCCACCCAGUAGCCUUCUGGGGCCAUGGGUAUUGAGGAGGAGGAGCAUAGCUUCUCCAAAAUGCUUUCUGGCUAUUCCCAAAUGCAUUUUCCUCCCAGAUGUGCCAUGGUUUUGUAGAAAUCCUCUCUGCAAAAAUUCUGUAAUGAGGAACCAAACAAAUUUGGUUGCCAACAUACAGACAAAAUGUGCUCUUGACAAUGGGAUUAGCAUAAGGAUGGAUUAUAUAAUAACACUUCAAUGUUAAAACACCGGGACUGUUUACUCAGCUGUUGAGUGUUAAAGUCAUUUUUCUACUUAAUGAAUAUUGCCAUGAACUUUUAUAAAUUUAUAUAAUCAUAACCGCCUCUACCAUACCAUUCCAUUUAUGCUGUUAGAUAAAACAUAAAAAUAUACUUAAUCAGUUGAUACAUAAUCAAUAGCCAUUUAUAAUAAGCGACACUGCUCUGUCAAAAUUAACUAAAGCACAGUGCAGGAAUUUCUAUUACCGUUGAACUCACCAGAAGAGAGAAAAGCACUUGUUGGUUUUUGGUUGGUUUUGAAUGGACGGUAGUCAGGAUAUUUUCAUGGGCAGUACUAGCUUGUAUAGAAGCACUUCUAUAUGGGGAACAAAUUCUCGAGGUGGUUUUCCGAGGUCUUCAAGAAUAAGAGAAGGAGAUGACGAGGUGGAAGCUCUAAAACGGGCUGCUCUUGAGAAAUUGCCUACUUAUAAUCUUUUGAGGAAAGGGAUAUUAACUACUUCACGAAGGGAAGCUGUGGAAGUUUGAUGUUCAAAUCUUGGACCGCAAGAAAGGCAAAAGUUGAUCUUUAAAUUGGUGAAAGAUACUGAUAUUGAUAAUGAGAAGUUCUUGUUGAAGCUCAAGGACCGCGUUGAUAGGUAAUUUUUUUUUUCCCCCAUUUUUCAGCAGCUCCAAGCGCCUUGGCUAGUCAAGAAUGUGAUUCAGGAAGGGCAAGGUCAAACAACAAUAUAAUACAAUUUUUUUUAACAAAAAUAAUAAGUAGCAGAAUUUGAACUUUAUUGCAAAAGAAGAGAAUAAGUUGCAAAGAAAUCUUAAUUUUUGUACGGAAUGAAGGAAAUAUGAAAGUAAGCGUAUAUAACUCGUGGUGGGUAGAAGUGAACCGGAUUUAAAAAAAAAAGAAAGUAGUCAAUUUGAUUCAAUUUUUUCAGUUUCAGUCCGGUUAUUUUCAAAAAUUGAUUUUUUUUAAGUGUUAUAAUCGACUACUAAAUAUUGGUUUGGUUAUUGAUUCAAAAUUUUAGAAUUGAAAACGGAACCAAAAGUUGAACUUUUUGGUAAUUUUAUGAAAUUAAACAUUUGUCAUAUUAUUAUUAGUGCACAUAUUAAUAAUAAUUCGUCCCAAGUCACAUUGAUCUCUGCAUAAUCUUUUGUAUCACAUCGUUAAUUAAAUCGAUAUCUUAAUUGUCUAAUCAAUUUAAUUACAUCUUAUUUCUUGAUACUUCCUGGUUUUUCCUAAUGAUCAUUUUCAAUAUACUAAAUAUGUUGACACACUCUGGCCAGAGAAUUUUAUUAUCAAGUACCAAAAACUCAUCAAGAGAUGUGUUGUACAAAUUUUAUAUUGUUAAUCUAUAACUUCAAUACUCAUAAUUGCUCCCACCAAGAUACCGGGUAAUCAUGACUUCAAAAGUGUGUGUCGUGCCCAUUGAUAACUCAAAUGGAAUAACAAUUACAAUCACGAAAUUAUAACUAACUCAAUUUUAAGAUUACAGUAAAAUCAAUGUCUAUGAGAUUUAAUAAGUCUGACAAUUAUUAUAAAGUUAAUUAAAUCUCAUAUGUGAUCUAGUUCAAUGUAGUCGUACUACAUCAAUAAAUUCAUACAUGAUUAAGACAAAUCAUUCAAUGAAUUUAUUACGGUCUAUACCUAAAUAAAGUGCCCAACUUUAUUUAUCAACACCGAACUUAAUUUAUUUAAUCAUAAGAUAACUUGUAUUUAUAUCUUCUGUGAAUCCACUUGGUGAUCACAUAAAUACAUAUAAUAUGAUUAAAUGGACUUUACUCAAAAUAUUAAUGCAACCAAGAUACUUGAAUAAAAUACCUCAUUUAUUUUAUUAAUUAGAAAAAUUAUUUAUUACAAUUAAAUAAACAUAUGCUUUUAAAGAUCAUAUUUUCCCAACAACCUCAGGGCUAGAUGCAAGGGCUGCUUCAAUUGUUAUUAGAACUGUUAGAAACACAGUGGACACUGGAAGGACAGUAGUGUGCACCAUCCAUCAACCGAGCAUUGAGAUAUUUGAAGCUUUUGAUGAGGUGGGCAAUGUUAUUCUAGGUCAAAGAAGCAUUAAGUUCCUUUUUUUCCCCUCUCUAUUGAUUACGAUUGUUCAAAAAUGCAUUGCAGCUAUUCCUAAUGAACAAGGGAGACAAGAAAUUUAUGUUGGGUUGUUCGGUCGCCAUUCUUGCCAUCUUACCAGGUACUUUAAAGUACGACUGAUGCACAUUUUAAUUAUUACAAUGGAAAUUAAUCUAUCUUGAAAUAUCAUUUUGAAGUGACUUGUGUAAUUCAAAUCAUGAAACCAGCUGACUCGUGUUUAUUUGUUUUCUUAAGGCAAUUCCUGGAGUCGAGAAAAUCAAAGAUGGUUACAAUCCGCCAACUUGGAUGUUGGAAGUUACUGCUUCAUCCUUUGGGGGCUGAUUUUUCUGAUAUUUACAAACGCUCAGAUUUGUACAGGUGACAUGGCCUAUAGACCAAAAAUCCAUUCAUCACACAGCGAACGCAUUCGUUAAGCUCAAAAUAAAUGCUGAUGUCUGCGCUGUAUAUCAGGAGAAACAAAAUGCUCAUUGAACAUUUAAGCAAGCAAUCAAAGGACCUCUAUUUUCUUACUCAAUACUCUUGUUAUAAUUUUGAAAUGGCUAAUAACAAGAACUAACUUGUUUCGUCAACCUUUAAUCAAUCAAGAUCAAAUUGAAACUGAGAUUGAUAAAGAUCAAAGCAAAGAACAGAAAAUAGAAUUGAGUUUAAGGGAACGAGCUAACAAAUUUGAAGGAAAAAUUCGUACUCUUUUAUUCAUCAAAACUGAAUACAAACAGAUUACAGAUGAAUAAGAGAUUACAAGAAUCACACAUAAAGAAGAAGUACUCGAAUUAGUUAAGAAAUGAGAGAGAGAGCUCUUAUAUCAGAUGUUACAAGCCAGCAUCGCGUUUCUGGAAAACCGAGCCACGUUAGCAGACAAUUACGUCAGCACCCCUUAACUGAUUACAAUCUACACAAUAACCCACAUAACUCUUACUUAAUAUCACUAUGGUCCCUAAAACAGUUAAUUACAUCUUCACAACUCUCAGUCAGAUUUCACCCAAUUUAUGGCUUGCUUAUGGAAACAAUGGUGGUCACACUGGCAAAAUCCAGCAUACACUGCUGUUAAAUUCUUUUUUACAACCUUUACAGCAGUGUUGCUUGGGUCAUUGUCUUGGGACUUGGGCGGUAGACAUGAGUUACAACUAGGAGCCUGGAACAAUACAUAUUUAAAUGUUAAUUCAAAGUCUCGUUCUUUCAUCCGCCUUUCAAUCUUAAUCCCGACUUUUCAAUUUAUAGCCAAAAGAGCCAAGAUCUGUUUAAUGCGAUGGGUUCGAUGUUCACUGCAAUUAUUUCCUCGGCGUUCAAUACUGUUCGUCGGUGCAGCCAAUAGUAUGAGUUGGAAGGGCAGUCUUUUACAGAGAGCAAGCCGCUGGCAUGUAUUCCGGCAUUCCAUAGGCAGUAGCACAAGUAGUUGUUGGACUCAUUAUGCAUCACAUACUUAGUAGAGGUUCCUUUGCCAUCAUUAAGCACAGACUUCAUCUUCAAAAUGAAAUUAAAUGUCUAUUGCUUCUGGAAAUCAAGCAGCUUAAUUCCUAAAGCAAACAGAAAUCCAGUGCGCUGCAAAGCAUGCAAGAACAACGGCAAAUACUCCCAGAAAAUCAUGUUUGAAAUCAAAAUAAUUUCUGAUAAACUGUUUCACAGUUUCACCAUUUUUCAUUUUUUCCUCCGCAUCCCCAACCGCGGAGCAAUCAAUCCAUACAAUGUCCAAGCUAUAGGGUUUGCCCAAUAGUACCAUCUCCACCGUAUAGGAAUCCUCUGUGGUUUGACAAGUUGAAAGAUGAAGAAACAAUUAGUAACAAAUUUUUAUUCGCAAGCUGGUAAAUCUAUCAUAUCAAAUAGAAAUGGCAGGAUAGUACUUGCGGGUCCUGGGAUCAUAAACCCAGGAAUUAGGUUCCACAUUCAAUAAAAAUAAAGUUGAAACAAUGGCAGUGAUGUGGUGGUUUGGUGUAAUAUCCACAGAAUAUAUACCAAAAGAACUUCGCGGCUGUCCGGUCAAAUCCCAUCAUAGCAUAGACUAUAACACUAUAAACUAGUGACUGAACAAAUAUAUACGGAACCUCAAAGCUUUGGUUAACCCCUCUGGACUGUCUCCUCCACAAUGUAUCCAAUGAUAUGGUUCUUAUGAGUAUUUUGUUUACAUUGGUUUACACAGAUGCUAAAACAUUUUUCUUUCUGCUUUUGUUCUGGUUUUGCUUGCUAUACAAGACAUCCCGGAUGUGUAUCCUUAUUUUUUUUAAUUAAAUAAAUAAAUUUUCCUCCAGAAUAUAGUAUAAUCUGUGUUAUGAAAGUUGCAUAUGAAGUUCUAUUUAAGAUGCUACAGAUGCUGGAAUUCAUAUAUUACUAAUUUAUGAUACCAGAAGAUAGAACAUGUCUAAUUUGAGGGCAAAAACUAUGUUGCCCAUCGGGCGAGUAACCCCUUCUUUUGUGCUUUUGUGGUUUAAUUACAAUGCAGUCCCUACUGGUUUUAAAACAAAAAAAUAGAGGUUUUUAAAUUAUGACAAAUUAGUCCUAUUUGUUUUAAUUUUUCCUUUACAUAGCCAUUAAGAAAAUUUUCAAACUUUUACUUUAUAAACCUCUCAUUACUCUCAUACCAACCUUAGUCGAAUUAAUUCUCUCUCCAUCCAUAUGCUUUAUUUUUUUAUCUUCUUCUUCAUCAAUCCUCCUCCACAUCAACUAUAUAUAUAAAUUCUUAAGUGUGUAUCUUUAAAUAUGGAUUUUAUGUGGAUCCACUAUUAUGCCAUAUGGUAUAAAAAUGAAUCUACAUGAAAUUCAUAUUUAGACAUCUGCAUCCUAGAAGCUCUCAUUUAGGCAUUUAAUAGUCUCUUCUUCAUAUAUUCUAAUCUUUAAAAAAGAAAAAAAAUUAAGAUAAUUACAGCUCUUAAUUUACUUUAAAUCUAGUUUUUCCUCUUUCCCAACCACCCCCUCGCCCACCCCAACCCCCCCAAUAUUUCUAUGUAGCUCUUUAAAUAAAUAUAUAUAUAUAUAUAUACAAAAAUAUUCCAAUCCGGAAUUUUAAAGUGCGGAAACGUCUGGGAAAACGCAUAAACCGUGCGGUUUAAGCGCUUUAAGUUUUAAGCCUUUAAAACCCCGCGGUUUUAAAGUUUUCCUGGACGUUUCCCGCACUUUAUGAUCCCGGACCAGAAAACUACUAUAUAUAUAUGUACAAUGUAGAUCUUCAGUCCUUAUGAGUUAGGCCUUUGUUUGAAAAAUGAAACUUGCCAAAGUAGCGUUCUUGGAUGGUUUUCUAGUUGCUUGGAUAGAAGUAGGGAUGACAAAAUCCUCCAUAGGUUUGGGGCCCCAUGGGGCUCCACCCCAAAUGGAGUGGAUUUUGAAUAAUUUUUGGGGAUUGGGAUGGGAAAUAAGGAAAAAAUAAUUCACAAAUUCUUAAUAGGGUGGGGUUUGAUUUUCUACUCCCCACCCCACCCCCACCCCAAUCCCCAUUAUAUAUAAAUAUUUUUCUAAUUUUUAUUUAAUAAUUUUUGUUUCAUCAGUUACAAUGUUAAUUAAUAAUUUUUUUUUACUUGAUAUAAAUGAGCUAUAACUAAAAGAAAACCCUACAAAAUAAUUUUUAUUUAACCUAAAACAUUGUUAUGUUUUCUUUUUUCCCUUAAGACACUGCUCUCUUCAAAUAUUUUUCAAUUUUGAUAUCAUUUCAAGAUAUUAUUUCAAACAUUUGGAGAUGUUUUUAAAAUAAUUUAAAUAUUUUAUAAUAUGGUAAUGAUUUUUUAAGUCUUUAUUUUUUAAUUUAUUGAAAUCAUGUAUUUAUAUCUACUAUAAAAUAAAUAAUUAAGGAAUUGGGUUGGAUGGGGAAAUUAUUCCCCACUUGGGGAUUCCCUAUCCCCACCCCAUUAAAUUUAUUGGGGAAUGGGGUGGGAAUGGAAGCGAAAUUUUUAAUGGGGUGGGGAAUGGAGUAGGCUUCCCCACCCCCACCCCACCCCUUUGCUAUCCCUAGAUAGAAGUAAUUAUUCGGAAUUUUUUUUAAAAAAAACACAAGAUUUUAGUUAAAAAUUCAAAUAGAUGUAAUUCCAAAUAAUGGCAAAAGUGAUCUUUUUAUAAAGAUUUCUUUAACAUAUUCUAAUAGUGAUAAGGGACAAGAUUUUUUUAUGUUACAAAAAUCAUUUAAAAAUUUUUUUUUUCUUGUAAAACAUGCUAUAUAUAACUUUAACUUUAAGAGAUCUUCUUGUACUUAGAGAUGACUAAAAAACCAGGGCCGAUCGGCCUGGGUGUUUCAGAUUGGACUUGACCUGAUCCAAACAUGUUUUCUAGACACUAGGCCUAGGCUCAAGCUUCACCUAAAAAGCUAGAGCCCAGAUCGAAAUACCAAGAAAUAUUUAAAAAAUUAUAUAUUAUUUUAAUUAAAAUACAUCUUUUAACAUAUAUUUAGCCCACUCAUAACAUAUAUUUAAAGUUUAAAAUCCUUUAAGUUAAAGCUUAAUCUAACAAAAAAAUAAAAUUUUAUAAAGUAAAAAUUUGUAGAACAUAAUAGAAUAUUUAUUUAUUUUUUUAAAAAUGUACAAUGUAAAAUUAGAGCUUUUUAUAUUAGCCCGAAAAGCCCGAUCCUAUAAAAGACAUCCUAGGCCGGGCUCAAACUUUGUCAACCUUGGCUUGAGCCGGACAUUCUUUAACUAGCCAAAAUUAACACCCUGGAAGGUAUUAGAAAUUUAUUUUCUGUAACUAGCCAAAAUUGACACCAUGUAAAUUUAGUUUGGAAGAAGCAUUCAAGAAUAUUUUUAUCUUCAUAUUUAUUUGUACUUGUCAUGAAAAAUUGAUCAUAUAAUUGUUAAAAAGGAAUCUGUGUGACUACUUGUGAAACUAAAGGAGUUUAUGUGACUAUUUAAAUUAAUCUUAAGAGUAUGUGUGGCUUUUUCCCAAAAUUAAUUGUAAACUAAUUUAUUAGAUGAGAUUGAUUGAAUUAAUAAUGACUAUUAGAUGAACAUUUUAUUUGUUUUGAAAAUAAUAGUUAUAAUAUCAUAUUUUUAGCACAUUCAGAGGAGCACAGAUCACAGAUAGCUUUAUUUCAACCUGGAAACCGCAAAUAUUUACUUGUCGAGAUUACAAUGAAUCAGCAGAGAACUCUCACAAUGGCAAAGUAAAUCCUGUUGGAAAUCACAGCUAUCUCCCUCUGGUCAUCAGCUUUUACCAUGCUAAAACAGCGCUUUGCUGAGUCUUAAACUCAUCCGUAGAUGAUAUGGAUGAUUCUUGUUCAUUGCUGAAUCACCUUCACAGGUCACCAUCAUGCGCUGAGACAGUACUUGCAGUACAAGAGAGAGAGAUGGAAAGGUCUGAUUGGAAGAUUACUCAGUGAGACAGUAGGUCGAACUCCUAAUUCAUUUCAUCGAACACCUAGUUCGUUUCGUUGAACACCUUGCUCAGACUAACAAUUAAGCACCUCAAUUAUAUAAAAUCCGUACGAGUAAAAUAAUAGAACACAACAAACCUCAUCAUAUUACGGAGGCUCCUCUUAUCCAUGAGUCUUCCACCGGCAACACCGAUCAAUCAUCUUUGCCAUCACCAAUCAAAAGAAAUACAAAUCAGUAUAACACAGUUUUCAGCAAGUGUGAAUUUUUACUUUAAAUAGAAUUAGAUAGAAAAUAAACACAUGAUAAGGAAGACAGAAAUUAAUUUGAGCUUUUGGACGCACAGAGGGAAAACAGAAUGUGAGGAAACAAUGGCUCUAUUGUUGAUGGGUGUUGAUUUGGUCUCUGCAAAUUCGCUUGGGACUCGGUUCCAUUUCAUCUUCAUCAUCAUAAGAUCCACUCAUGCCGACCUUAUCAUGCAAUAUCCUAAUUUUGGUGCAUUCUUCUUCACUGCCAAGAAUUAAUUUCAGAGUGUUGGGUUUGUUGUCGUUCGGAUUUGCAUACACUGGACACACCCCACAACAUUUCACCUGAUGACAUUUUUCGUUUUUACACUCAACGGAGAACUCAAAUGAGAUAGUUGUUUGAUUAUUGCCAUCAUCAGGUACCUCAGUAUUCCAGCAGGGCUCAAAUCCGAGUAACACAUGAUCCGAAUCCAUAGACCCAUUAAGACUCAAAUUGUAAUAGUCAUCAACAUUAUUGUUCGCUGCCAAGCGAGUCUUGGUUUCAAAAUUGUAGUUGCAUUUGACAUUGCAAUAUUUGCCACUAGCAUCAAUAUCUUCCUCAAAUUGAAUAACAGCACAAAGAGCAAACCCGACUAAGUUUCUGCUGCAAGAACGCCGCGGCAGUUGAAUUGUUAAUGAAGAUCCUGAACAUUGAUUGCUGAACCAGUCAGGAAUUUCACUCCCAGGAAAACAAUUGCAGAGUCCGUAGGGUGUAUAAUGUACCUGUAACACGAAAAUCAUGAUUUCCAAUCUAGUGAAGAGAAUCAGGGCAGAAAGAAAGAAAGUUGCUUAAUUACCAUUUCAUAGCACAGUCUCAGUGAUGCACUUGCCAUAUGCUGAAUUCUUUGUUGUGAAUCUGCUAAAAUCUUCUUGUGUGCCUCUUUUUCAUUCAGCUUCAGGCAAUUAGUAAAAUCAAAAAAUAGUAUGCCGUCCAUAAUUCCACUAGAGUGUUCGUAAAUUGAUUCCAGCAUGGAUGCAUCUAGUUCUUCUACAGAUGAUGGAAUCUCUGGCAAAGUUUGGAGUCGCUUGCAAUUUUUUGCUUCUAAAUAGACUAGAUAUAUUGGAAGCUCUGGUAAAGACUGAAGCAUGUUGCAAUUGCUCAAGUGAAGAUAUCUCAGCUGUGAAAGUUGCUUGACACUUGUUGGCAACCUCUCGAAGUGAUUUCCACUUAGAGCUAACCAUACAAUUGAGGACAAAGAGCCAAUGUCCGCAGGAAUUUCUGUUAUAUUACAGUCGGUUAAAUGCAACUCUGUUAAAGAAGAUAAACCAGAUAGUAAUGGUGGCAAUACCAAACCUCUGCAUCCAGAAAACUUGAGUUUUUUAAGUUGGUUUAAAUCUGAGAUAGAGGAUGGUAGCUGACCUAUGGCCGAAAACUCUGCAUUGAGGUACUUCAAAGAUUUUAAAUUUUCUAGCUUUUCUGGCAAACUAGCUAGUUCAGAGCAAUCCCCCAGGUCUAACUUUCUGAGCCCUUCUAAAUAUUCAAUUGAAGAUGGUAGAUUUCUAAUUGCCGUCUCUCUCAAAUCAAUUUCUAGCAAAUGCUCCAUUUUCUCCAAAAUUUCUGGGAAAGUCUCAAGGUUUGAGCAGCCACCAAGUUCAAGCCAACAAAGAGAUUUCAAUUUACAAAUGCUAGUCGAAACUCUCUUUAGCCUCUUGCAAAAACUCAGGUCUAAGGUUUCAAGAUUUGUUAGGCACUCGAUAGACGAGGGAACUUCUUCUAUUCGGGUGUUCCAUAGUCUUAGCUCUAUUAUAUUCCCCGAAACCAGUGGAAAUUCUGUGAGGUUAACACAGUCUGAGAAAUCCACAGCUAUAGGAGAUCUAAAAUAUAUGUUGCGUGGAAAGGAAACAAGGCUCCGACAGCCCGCCAAACUCAGCACACUGAGAUUGUUGAAAUUUUGUAUUGAUGAGGAAAUGUAAGGCAAGUUUGUACAAUUCAAAAGAUUUAUUCUCUCAAGAUUUGGGGUUUCUACUAAGUCUGGAAUCUUAGUAAGAUAUUGGGAAUGGUGGAGGUCAAUAAAUUUUAACUUGAAAGCUUGCUGUAAAAGAAGAUCAAUAAUUAGUGUCAAUAGCUUGUUAUAUACACACACAUAUAUAUACUCACAAAAAGAAAAAUUAAUUUUACAUUUUACCUUUUUUCCCUCCCAGAUUUGCUCAACAUUACUGUAAGGUAAGUUGAGUUCAAUAAGAUUCUCUGGAUCAAAAUUUAAAGGAAGCGUUUUCAAAGAAUACUGGUGCCAAUGAAGAUAUCUCAAUUCCUCUGGAAGAUAUCUAAGACCUUGGUCUAGAUGUACUUUAGAGCUCAUAAUUGGAACACCUUUAUAUUCAGGCAUGUAGAAUUUCAGGAAUCUUAGAUUUGACAUAUUUACAAAGACAUUACCAUCCAAAUGUAUGUCUCUUGUUUUAGACAAAUUCAGUAAUAUACCUUCGAUUGCAUCUGUCCCCUUAUGAACAAAAGCAAAGAAUGAAUAAUUAGACUAAAUUCACAAAAUAUAAAUCUAUUUUAAAAUUAAAUAGAACUCCUUUAAGCGAAAGCAUGAAUAUAGUUAGGAAAAGUGUGAGUGCAUGCAUGUAGCCCCAUUUAAGAUCAAAUAUUAAAUAGGUGGAAUUUUACCUUAUUUUUCUUCAAUACAUGAUAAACAUCCUCAUAAUGCCACAACCUGCUACGUUUGCCUGGUUCUUUGACUGAUUCUUGACGAACAAUUUCUCGUCCCAUUUUUUGCAAUAAAUCAUGCAUUUGCACCUUGUUGUUACAUGAUAUUGUCACAAGCGACUUAUCAACAAGGACACUCAAGCAAUAGUGAGCAAAAUUAGGAUCAUCUUGUAUCUUUGUUACAUAAUCUUUAUCCUCUCCUUUAAGAAAACAUGCAAUGUCCAGAAACAUACUUUUUUCUUCUGCCUUCAGUUCAUUAUAAGUGACCUUUAGCACAUCAUAGAUAUCAGGGUCGGAAAUUCGUAUUAAGUUCUCCAAUGCAAUUUUCCAAUCAACUUUUGUCUUUCGAUGAAGGAAAGAACCCAACACUCUAAGCGCUAAUGGAUUGCCAUUUGCAUAAUCCAGUACACGCUUUGAGAGCACUAAGAGAUCUUCAGGGCAAUGGUUUCCUUUAAAGGCAUGGUUACAAAAGAGCUCAAGAGCUUCAGGAUAUUCCAAUCCCUUCACCUCAUAUACGUCACUCACUCCGAAAUUGUACAAAACUUGUUUAUCUCUAGUGGUUACAAUAAUUCUACUUCCCAGACCAAAUCGAUCAAGCCCUCCAGUUAAAUAACUCAGUUGCCCACAUUUAUUCACAUCAUCGAGAACUAUGAAAACAGUCAUCUGCUGUAGCCUUUUCUUAAUAAUUUCAGGAAUAAUGGGGGUUCUUAUUUUGAGAUCUUCUCCUAAUACUUCAGAAAUAACUCGUUCUCGCAAAUCUGCCAAUCCACCUCCUUUCUCUGAUUCUUCCCUUACACUUGCCAUGAAGCACUUGCCUUCAAACUCCCUAGAAAUCUGAUUGAAAAGAGCUCCAGCAAUUGUUGUUUUUCCUAUACCACCCAUGCCCCACAAUCCUACAAUGCGAAAAUCUGGCGAUCCGGCACUCAAUAAUGAUUUAAUUUGUUCAAUUCGAGAAUUUAAACCAACUAGGCCUUCAAGGUCAGUUGAAACUGUUAUAUUUUCCAAUUUCUUCAAAAUGUCUUUGACAAUUUCCUCUACAAGUUUAGCCUCAGGCCUUGCAAUUAUGAAAGAGGAACAACGGUUAUCAGAUAUAGAAUGGAUAGAAUCAGAAAAAAUAAAAUAAAUAUUUUAUAUUUAAUCAUAGAAGACAGAUAAGAUGAGUGAAUUAAAGGUAGCGUUUACAUUUUGGAUUGGAGUGGGAAUCCUGAGAAGUGGGAAUUGUAGGAUUAGGAGUGAGGAGUGGGAGUGAGAGUAGGUUGUUUACUUACACUGGAAUAGGAGUAUGGAAUUGAAACUAAAAUUCAAUUUAUGUGUUUACAUUGUCUUGGAUUAGGAGUAAAUGAUUUUAAAUUAUAAUUUUACCCUUAUUUAAAGAAUUAUAAUUUUUAAUUACAAAAUUAAUAAAAAAAUAUUUGAAAAAUAAAAUAUUUAUUUUAUUAUAUUUGUAAAUUAAUAAUAAUUAUUAAUAUUCUUAAUUAUGUAAAUCAUAAUUUUUUAUUAAUUUUAAUUUGAAUUAAGUAAAUAAAAAAUUACUAAUAAUAGCAACACAAAUGAAACAUUAUUAUUGAUAAUAUAGUACAAAAUUAAUAUUUUCUUAUAAUAAAAUAUUUAUUGUUAUUAAUUAAAUAAAUAUAAUACUAUUAUUUUUAAAUAAAUAUAAUAAUAUUAAAUUUUCAAAUAAUGUUAGAAUAUAGUAAUAUUAUUAAUUCUCUAGGAGUAUAAUAAUAUUAUUUUUAAGUAAUUUCAACUUAGAAUCAAUGUAAAUUAUUAUUUUUAAUUAAAUAUAAUAAUAUUAUAUUUAAAUAUGUUUAAUAUUAUUAUUUUUAAUAAAUUUAAUUUAUAAAAUAAUAAAUAUUAUUAUUUAAAUAAAUAUAAUAUUGUUUAUUUUAUUAAAUUUAAUAAAAUAAAUAUUAUUAUUAUUAUUUUUAAUAGAUUUAAUUUAUAAAAUAAUAUAAUAAUAUUAUUAAAAUAAAUACGAUAUUAUUUAUUUUAUUUUAAAUAUAAGUCUAAAAAUGGAAGAGGGGGAGUGGAUUCCCACUCCCAACUCUCCCCAUGGGAGUGGGACUGGGAAUCCCACUCCCCACUCCAAAAUUUGGUGGGGCCCACGGAAUGGGAUUCCCACUCUUCCUUAAAAAUUAUAAGUAAACACUAAAGUAGGAGAAAUUUACACUCCUCACUCCCACUCCAGAAAAUCACAGGGUAUGUUUGGAUUGCUUUAGUUUCCCCAUGAAUAAAUCUUUAAUAAUUUGAUAAGUGUUUGAUAUCUUAAAGAUUUAAGAAUAUAAGACGAUCACUUUUCAAAUAAUUUAUUAUACAAAUUCACCUAAAUACCCUAUAUACCAUUUAAUUCAUCUUGUAUAGAUCCAUUAAUAAAUGUUCAGAUUUGGUUCAUAUUAAUAUUUUAAACCAAACAACUACAGUGCGCUUAGUCAUUUAUUCUCAAACAAAAAUUAAAUAAGCAAACAUGUGUUUGAAAAAAAUAACCCUUACAAAUAGAGUUUGUUUAUAACUUUUUGGGCAAACAAUAUUUGAACUCCUAACAGUUCUACAAAUCAAAAUAUUUGGUUAUAAUAAUCUAUAACAUUCUGUCAUUUCGUUCAGUCGUUAUUCGUAUAAAUUAAUAGAGAUUGUCUAAAUUGUUUUGGCCGAAUAAAAUUUUGAACUCUUAAGAAAAUCUAAAGAGUCACCUGGUAUUCAUGGAAUACCAUCCGGAUACAUUGGAUGCUUCGGUCAAAACAGCCCUCCAAAUUUGAACCUUUUCUGGCAUGUUUUUGAACUGUUCUUCAUGCUCAACGAAGGCAUCCGCAAAACAUCCAGUUUGAUUUCUCACGUCCGAUGGAUCAACUUGGUAGAAAACUGGAACAACCGUUUGGCCAUUCAUGUUCUUGCAUUCAAGAAUCUCGACAAGUUCAUCCAGGCACCAUUUGGAAGAUGCAUAGCGUUUUGAGAAGAUGAUUACCGAAAUCUUUGAUCCUUUCAUUGCGUUCAAAACAGCUUGCGAAAUCUCAUCUCCUCUGCUAAGUUCUUCAUCAAUGAAGGUUUUUAUAUUCUUUCGGCAGAAAGCUGCAUGGAGAUGACUAGUAAAGUUGUCACGAGUAUCCUCCCCCCUAAAACUGAGGAAGACAUCGUAUUUGCUUUGAGCAGAAUGGCUGCGAGAAGAUGAAGCCAUGUAGAAACUUUUAUGAAUUCUUCUAGACGGAAAUAGAGAUUGUUGAGUGUAGAUUUAAGAAUAAUAUUUGUGUAAGUGAAUGGAGUGAGUGUUUGGAGCUUUUGUAAAUUUCUUUAGACUUUCAUAUUGCUAGCUAGCUUCUUUUUUUUUUUUUUUUUAAAUCACCACUAAUUCUAUCCUUUUCACUUUGAGUAACUGAAGUUGGUUGAAAUUAAUUAAUCGUCAACUACCGAAAGUGUGGGGUUGACAAACACACCACUAGCAGUCUUUAUUGGUGGAAAUUUUGAUUUUCGAUAAGGCUAUCUGAGCCCAACAAAUUGUACUCUACAUCAAUUUCUCUUUCCACCGAUUCCAGAGAUUUAAAAACCAUUUAAAUAAUUGGUGCUAAUAUAUGUUUCAGGAAUGACAAAUCUGAGCCCUUGGAAGGUGCGUGAAAGGGUCCAAACGAUAUAGGUACGGCCGUGAAUUUAGGUGACAGUAAAUAUUUAAUAAAGGUACGGUUGGUUAUUUUGCUAUAGUGCGAAAUCACAAUUGGUUGGUCACCAUGUCUAGUGUUGAUAUCGGUAUUUAUUCUGAUGAUGUUGAUAUUACUAAGGUGGAAGCUUCACACUUUUGUUUAUGGAUUGCAAGGAAGAUUGGUUUAUCUCUUAUGAUUGUGGAGCCAGACUAGUUGCAUGUUACUCAGUUGAAUUUGAAUAAGGCAGCACUCGUAAUGAGUUUUUUUUUUGGGUCCGUACAAAGAAUCAACAACUAUUUUUACCAAAGCAAGAUUCAGGACUUUUCGUAUCUCCAGGAUCUAAAAGCAAGCACUAACGUAUUAGAUGAGUAAUGCUCUUUGUUGUUCUUGUCAUUUUGUGUCAAUGGAGGAUUUUUGACAAAGCAGGUAACAGAAGCAGAAUGAUAGACUAGACAAACAGUAAAUAUCAUUUAGUAUCGAACCAAGCAAAUGCGAUUAGGUUAUCCUUUAAUCGAAGCGUGAUUAGAUCUUAUUCUAAAUUUCUAAUUCAAAUGAUUUAAUGAGACUUUGAUAAUACUUUAAGUAAGAUUAAACGAUACACUAUAAUUUGAAUAACUUCACAAAAGAGAUUUUGAUAGAUCAUCCCAAAGAAAAUUAUAAAAGAGGAGUUUUAAUUGAACAACUAAACUUUUACUAACAAUGACAAGAACUCCCAUUUUUUAUAGGGUAAACUUACUUCUCCAAAUUAAGUUAGAAGAAAAAUUAAAUCACAAUUAUCCUAAAAACAAAAAACUAAAACACGUCAUAAUUCACUUGAAUUAAAAAUAACAAAUGUAAAAAAAAUAACAAAUGUCUAAAAUCCUAAAAUAAUCUCCUACAUCAAUUUUCCAUAGCAUUUUAAUUGUAAUUUUUGACUUUAUAUCCUAUUCCUAUUUCUUUAAAUAAUAAGAAUAAUAAUAAUAAUAACAACAACAACAACAUAGAAGCAUAGGAAUCUAAUUUCAAUAGAAAAAAAUUAUAGCAAGUUGUUAUGAAAUUGAUCAACAAGUGACUAGUUACUCAAACUGCACUCUACAAGCAAAACCAAAACUUCAAAUCUACAACAUAAAUUUGUGUGUAUUAUAUAAAGAGCAAAUGCUACUACCUUGUAUGCUUUCGACUAAAUGCAAAUCUCACCUUUCCUUACUGAUCAAAACCAAAUUUCCAUUGUCUUUUUGGACACGGAAUGUGUAUGCACUUCUUUCUAAUUAAGUUUAUUAUUUUAUCUUUCCCAUUUGACCCAAAGUUUUAAAAGUCAUUAGACUCAUUUUAAUUGUCACUGACAAAUUUGACAUGACUCUAGUAGUCAGCACGAAUAAAUAAGUGUGGAUUGUUAAAUUUGACACAUUUAUUAAAUAAGUCAUGUUUGGACUAGUUUAAACUUGUCAUGACACGAAAUCAAGACAACACGAACACGAGUCGAUGACCCGUGUUGAUAGCUUUUAUUAUAAUACUCAAAUUUAUCAUUAGCUUAAUUUGUAUUAAGUUUACAAAAAUAAAGGGAGGUUAAUUAAAAAUUGGGACUUAUUUGAAGCUAAUGAGGAAAUAAGAGAAGCUUAAUUUGUUUUAGAGAGAUAGAGAGCGCAUCAAGGAGAGAGGCUAAGAGAGAGCUGUUGAAACCCGACAAGAACCAGAACUCGACCCAAAACCCGACCCGCCCCUCAUUUUCGUUUCCAGCCACCUCACUAGCAACAGAAGGUACUAAUCGAAUCCUUAGCCAACGCAAGUCACCCAGCACCAUCCACUCUACCGGAAAAUGACUGAAAAGCAGCCAAUAGAAAUCGUGAAGAGCCGUACCAAUCGCCACCUUGAAUCACGCGAUUUUGCAAGAUUUAUUACCCGUCGUUGUUUGCAUUUUGUCCCUCAUGGCACCCUUUUAAAUUUUCGAUCACCCGCACCACCAGAAACCAUCGAUUUGGUUGCGACCAGUUGUUGAGGUGUUCACAGCUAUCUACGCUCGAUCUAGCGCCGCUACCGCACAUCGGAGCUCACCGCCGCCAUCAUUGUAGUCAGCUCAGUUUGAAGUAUCUAACCUGACCUUUAGGGGUGGGCAAAAAAACCGUAGUCUUAAAAAAACCGAACCGAACCGACGGUUUUUCUAAUUCGGUUCGGUUUUUAUUUUUUAAAAAAACCGAAUAUACCGUUUGUAAAAAAAAUCGAAAUGUCGGUUCGGUAUUCGGUUCACUUAGCUGAACCGAAAAACCGAAUUAUUUUUUGAUUUUAUUCAAAUCAAACAUGUGUUAAUUUUUAACUGAUUGUGUGUAAGAUAACUAACAUAAACUUGCAUACACACAAUCAAUAAUAUAUAUAUGUAAGUGUUACAAUUUCGUAAAUCUUUAUUUCCCCCAAAAUAAACCCUAAAGCUAAAAUCAAAGAUUCAAAAUCGAAACCAACUCCAAAUCACCCACCCCAAUCCACUGCAAUCACAGCCGACGCUGCUCAUCGGCGAUAGUGUCACCGUGCAACAUGCUGCUCACGCUGCUCAGUGCUCACGCUGCUCACGUUGCUCACCGCGAAAGCUGCCUGUUUCACUCACACUCUCACAGGCCUGAGGCCACCGCGCGACAGCUUUGCUCUGCUCGCCAGCCACCACGCGACAGCUUCUUCUCUACUCGCCAGCCACCGCGCGACAGCUUCUUCUCUGCUCCCCAGCCACCGCGCGACAGUUUCUGCUUUGCUCGACAGAUUCUGCUUUGCUCGACAGAUUUUGCUUUGCUCGCUAGCCAGUAGCCACCGUACUCCAGUAGGUAUGUCAAGCUUUGUUUCUUUAAUUUUCUACAAUUAGUUGGUGUGUGAGUGAGAACUGAGAACAUAAGAUAUAUAUGCAUGCUAUUUUCUUUAAUUUUCGAAGUGUUGGGCUGUUGGCUUAGUGGCUACCGAUUGAUUUUAUUUUUGACAUGGCUGUCAAAUGUAUGUUGAACAUAAGAUAUAUAUGCAUGAUAUUUUCUUUAAUUUUUUUUUAUCUAGCUGCUCUUGUGUUGUAUCAAGCAAAGGCAGCAGCCAAAUAAAAACAAAUUUCCAGCAACUUUUUUUUUUAAUUUCAUUUUCCUCCUGUUGUUUUAAUGUCUAUUACUGUGUAGAUAUAAAUUGCAUGAUUUACAAUAUAUAACUGCUGAUUAUGUUUAUAAUAUGGCUACUGAUUGUAUGUUGGACAGUGGCUAUAUUUACUUAUUUAGAUUUUAUUUUGACAUUAUAAUAGUUCUAAUUUUAUAGAAUGGUUGACAAUGUUGGUGAAGUGCAAAUUAGUGAUGAAGUGAAACAAGUUAGUAGUGAAGAAGUGGUCAGUGGUAGUAAAAAAAGAAAAAUUGAGUUGAGAUCAUUUAUGUGGAAGCAUUUUUCGAAGCUACCUGGAGGACUUAGAGCUAAGUGUCAUUAUUGCAGAAAAAGUUAUGCAGCCCAUAGUAAUUCUGGAACAAGUGGUUUGUCGACUCAUUUGGAUAGAUGUAAAGUGCGCAAAAAAAUGAAGGCUGAAAAUGAUGCAAAACAGCAGACAUUAGUUUGUAAAAAGGGUAAAGGACCUAAAGGUAAAGAUGAUGGUACUGCUAAGGUUAUACACAUAGGAUUUAAUAGAGAGGCUUGUAGAAUGGCACUUGUGAAAAUGAUAAUUAAAGAUGAGUUACCUUUUAGAUUUGUAGAGGCUGAAGGGUUUUUGGAGUUCAU